CGUAAAGGGAGCGCAGGCGGUGAUUUAAGUCUGAUGUGAAAGCCUACGGCUCAACCGUGGAAGGUCAUUGGAAACUGGAUCACUUGAAUAUAGAAGAGGAAAGUGGAAUUCCAUGUGUAGCGGUGAAAUGCGUAGAUAUAUGGAGGAACACCAGUGGCGAAGGCGACUUUCUGGUCUAUUAUUGACGCUGAGGCUCGAAAGCAUGGGUAGCAAACAGGAUUAGAUACCCUGGUAGUCCAUGCCGUAAACGAUGAGUGCUAGGUGUUGGGGGGCUUCCACCCCUCGGUGCCGAAGUUAACGCAUUAAGCACUCCGCCUGGGGAGUACGGCCGCAAGGCUUAAACUCAAAGGAAUUGACGGGGACCCGCACAAGCGGUGGAGCAUGUGGUUUAAUUCGAAGCAACGCGAAGAACCUUACCAGCUCUUGACAUCUUCUGCCAACUCUAGAGAUAGAGUGUUCCCUUCGGGGACAGAAUGACAGGUGGUGCAUGGUUGUCGUCAGCUCGUGUCGUGAGAUGUUGGGUUAAGUCCCGUAACGAGCGCAACCCUUGUUGCCAGUUGCCAGCAUUUAGUUGGGCACUCUGGCGAGACUGCCGGUGACAAAUCCGGAGGAAGUGUGGGGAUGACGUCAAAUCAGCAUGCCCCUUAUGAGCUGGGCUACACACGUGCUACAAUGGAUGGUACAGCGAGUCGCUAAACCGCGAGGUCAAGCUAAUCUCCUAAAGCCAUUCUCAGUCCGGAUUGCAGGCUGCAACUCGCCUGCAUGAAGCCGGAAUCGCUAGUAA
This 784-nucleotide ribosomal RNA is filed under the name uncultured Bacillota bacterium. RNAcentral describes it as "bacterial SSU rRNA". It matches the Rfam family "Bacterial small subunit ribosomal RNA", at positions 559 to 1341 of the family's 1533-position model. Lineage: Bacteria; Bacillati; Bacillota. The record is from RNAcentral.